This is a long non-coding RNA of Apis laboriosa (Himalayan honeybee), 2287 nucleotides long. RefSeq lists it as uncharacterized. NCBI's taxonomy places the organism in Eukaryota, Metazoa, Arthropoda, Insecta, Hymenoptera, Apidae. The transcript has 4 exons. The record is from RefSeq and is a predicted model, not a curated record.
AGUUUCAAGACGCGUAGCUGUCCUUUAUCCAUCUGAUUCGCGGUUUCGGCGAAGCGCGGCACUACUUUCGCCGGUGGAUGUGAUUUGAUCCCGGCGGUUGCGCGGUCGCAGAUUCCCUAUGGUGGAAUGUGGAUGCUGUGCGCGGUGGUUUGUUUCGUACGUGAAUUCAGAUUCGUUUCGUCAGUGAUAAAGCAUCCAGACCUGUCAAGCGAAUCGUCCUUAUAAGCUAGCAGCUGUUUCGUCUGAUAAUGUUGCUUGACAGAACGUACGUGCACAUUGACAAUUAGGCGCCAACCAGCGUAGAGUGGUCGAGCACGGGCUAGUAAACAAAUGACACAACGGCGACCGAGAGGGAGGAGAGAGGAAAGGAGGGAAACGAAACAUUACCAUAUCGUUCCAGCGCGAAAUAGUAGCGCAACAUUGUGCCUUUCGAUUUGCGUUGUUCGAUUUCUUCGGUCAUUAAGGGAACGCCAACCCAUGCGUUUUUCAGCUGGUUAACGCGCGUGGAAUGUGCCCAUGCAUUGUCGUCGUGACGUCAAAUGUCAUGAGCCUUUUGCCAAGUGUCGUAUAUCAGCUGUGUGCCAGCUGCAUAUUCAGCCUGUCAACUUUGUUUCUUUUAAUGCUGAAUUUGUUGCCGCCUGAAAAGUGUUAAUACACAUAUAUAUAGGCCUAUAACAAGUCAUUGAAAUUGUGCGCGAAUUCGAAGUUAUUUUUGUGUAAGAACGUUCGAAAACGUAUUUAUGCGGGUAAUAUUGCAUUUCGUACACGUUGAAAUGCGAGUGAAACUUUUAUAAAGUUUAAAGUCCUUUAAAUCAAAGUGGUCGAAGGCAAUUACAUUUACGUUUAUUAUAUAUACACGCAUAUAUAUAACGGUAUUAUAUAUCGUGUACCGGCUAGCGGGCCAUUUAAAUCUUAACAAAUCUUGAUUUCUUUUUCGCAUCGUUUUAGUUUCAUUUGACUGCCCUUCGCAUUUCAUUCAUUCUUUUUAACGAAACGGAGUUUAUUUCACUUCAAAUGUUCGUAACGUGUAAUUGCUUCUAUAUUGCUCAUAAUUAUGAGAACGUGAUUGUGAAGUUUGAUUGUGAUUUAUGGUGAGACAUUCAAUUGUUUUUCUUCCGUGCUGUUUUUGCUUUUUGUGCCAGCUUUUUCAUGCUUUAAGGUUAAAAAAUUAUGUAACAUCAAAGGACUAUUAAAUUUGCCUGGCUCGGAAUGUGGAAUUUGUUUGGAGUUUUUGGUGAUACAUAUUUAACUUGGGAUUGCCUUCGACAUGAAUUGGAUGCACUGACGUCAUCUGGAGUUUGCUACACGAAUGUCAAAAGGCAGCACAGAUUCCGAUUUGCUAUGGCUCGCUUAGUGAAGCCUAAGAUCCCACCGUCCGAGCCGCCCCUCAUCUCUCCAUGGCAGCCACGUUAAUAAACACCGUAGCAGACGAGCAAUCAUCCGCCGGCAAAUCCACCCCAAAGGAGAAUCAUCAAAAAAUUACGUUGCACGUGAUGGUGUUGGUUUGGUCCCCUACGCCGCUCGAAACGAGACGAACUCAAAAGCCAAGGGGAUAUAUCGAUCGGAAUAGGUUAAAAUCACUUUCGAUGCCUCGCCCGUACACACUGUACGAAGUUCCACUCUCGAUUCGAAAAUCGAUAGCGCGAAAGCCGCUUGAUUUAGGCCGAUAUCAGCGAAGGGAUAAUGUAUGGUAAAGCCAACGAGUACGAGCACGCAUAAACGAUAAGCGGUCUGCCCGUCCGUCCCUUGUAUGCGCGCUCUCGUGUACGAACCGCGAACGCGAGGGAGACGCGAUUUACAUACCAAUUAAAGCGCGCCUCCCUCCUUCUGCUCUUUCAACCAACCCCCACCCGACAUCAUUUUCCUCGACCGUCACUGUACCCGUAAUAAAAUACACGGAUACAGGACACGGUCAUAUAAUAAGCAAUUUGCAUAAGCCCCUUUCGAUUCUGACGCGACCACUUCGUAAAAUCGACGAGACUUUUUAAACGGUUUUUAUCCCGCUACGAUCCUGCGACGAGCGGGAAAUUUUUAUAUGUAAUAAUAACGCGUGAGAUAAAAAUUACGAUUUUUCUCUUCUCGGUUCUUUUCACUCGAAGAAGUACGAUUUCUUAUUUCUUUUUUUCUAAAUGGAUCUUAUGGUAUGUAAGUAAGCGCAAAUUUUAAUAUAAUGAUAUGCGGAAAUGUCGUAUUUAUCAAGAUUAUCGAUAUUAUAAGGAAAGAUAUAUAUAUAUAUGUAUGUAUGUAUGUAUGUAUAUUUUAUAGCUAAGAUUAAAAUCUUGGUCUG